RNAcentral lists this ribosomal RNA (447 nucleotides) under uncultured bacterium. RNAcentral describes it as "bacterial SSU rRNA". It matches the Rfam family "Bacterial small subunit ribosomal RNA", at positions 329 to 793 of the family's 1533-position model. The record is from RNAcentral.
GGCCAGACUCCUACGGGAGGCAGCAGUGGGGGAUAUUGCACAAUGGGGGGAACCCUGAUGCAGCGACGCCGCGUGAGCGAUGAAGUAUUUCGGUAUGUAAAGCUCUAUCAGCAGGGAAGAAAAUGACGGUACCUGACUAAGAAGCCCCGGCUAACUGCGUGCCAGCAGCCGCGGUAAUACGUAGGGGGCAAGCGUUAUCCGGAUUUACUGGGUGUAAAGGGAGCGUAGACGGCAUGGCAAGCCAGAUGUGAAAUACCGGGGCUCAACCCCGGGACUGCAUUUGGAACUGUUAAGCUGGAGUGUCGGAGAGGCAGGCGGAAUUCCUAGUGUAGCGGUGAAAUGCGUAGAUAUUAGGAGGAACACCAGUGGCGAAGGCGGCCUGCUGGACGACAACUGACGGUGAGGCGCGAAAGCGUGGGGAGCAAACAGGAUUAGAUACCCCUGUAC